RNAcentral lists this ribosomal RNA (2055 nucleotides) under Trachelomonas sydneyensis. RNAcentral's name for it is "SSU rRNA". It matches the Rfam family "Eukaryotic small subunit ribosomal RNA". Lineage: Eukaryota; Euglenozoa; Euglenophyceae; Euglenales; Euglenaceae. The record is from RNAcentral.
GCAUGUCUCAGCGCAAACGGAACAACAGUGGGUCUGUGAAUGGCUCCUUACAUCAGCAGUCAUCUGUGCGAUAGCGAGUGCUUGGCCGAGGUGCACGGCCCCAAUGGACAUCCACCAUAACUUUGUGGCUGAUACACGCAAGCAGAUGUCUGCCGCGUCAAGUGGAGUUAGCAGUGCUCUCUCCACUGCGGUGGACUGCAACCAGCCUAUGGAAGACCAGCGUCAGCAAAUGGCAGUGUUUACUGGGUGAAUCAGGCUGUUCCCAAGGACAUUGCUCUGGCAGAUAAGCCCUGCUUCGGCAGGCAUGCUUGAUCGCAUGAACUUCUGACCUAUCAGCUUUGACUGUGCUGUAGUGGACCACAGUGGCCUUGACGGGUAACGGAGAAUCAGGGUUCGAUUCCGGAGAGGGGGCCUGAGAGAUGGCCACCACUACCAAGGUGGGCAGCAGGCGCGCAAAUUGCCCAAUACAAAGCCAUCUUGUGAGGCAGCGACGAACUGCAGCAAACAUGCCUACUUGUGUAGGUUUGUCUUGGAAUGGAUGCUAUCCAAACACAGCCAUGAGCAACAAGUGGAGGGCAAGUCUGGUGCCAGCAGCUGCGGUAAUUCCAGCUCCAUUGGUGUAUACUAACAUUGCUGCUGUUAAAACGCUCGUAGUCUGCCACUGGGACUCAGGUCUGGCGGAUGGCUGGUUGGCCGUGUUCGCACGGUCAGCUGGACACAACCUCCGUCAGUAUGUUCCUGAUCCCAUCAACCAGGAUGCUGAAAUGCUCCUGCAUGAAGUCUUCUUCAGUGAAGGCCAACGCUGUUGUGCAUCCAACGCAUGCAAGGGGAUUUGCUAACUCAUGAUGGCCAGUUCCAUAUGCCCAGACCGGAGUACAGCAUCAGAGCAACCCUGGUAAACUCAGUGUGCUUCAAGCAACCUUGUAAUGGCGUGAAUGCCAUCCAGUGAAUUGCAGAGCAACGAUCGGACUUGGCUGUGUGUUGUGCUGGCCUUGGUGCCAAUUCUGAGCAAUCUGGGAUGCGUCGAUGACUGUGGCCAUUCGCCCGCGUUUGGUCACUGUUCACAAUGGCGUGUCUCCAACCGGACAUGAUGGAAGCGUUCCAGGUGGAGGAUACUGCAGUGCCAGAGGUGAAAUUCUUAGACCGCUGCAUGAUCAACAGCAGCGAAGGCACUCUGCAAGGGCAUGUUCGUCGAUCAAGAAUGAGAGCCUGGGGAGCAAAGAUGAUCAGACACCGUCGUAGUCCAGUGCAGUAAACCAUGCCGGCUCGGCUUUGGUGAAGACGUACCACACACUACAUCAGUGCCAUGCCCCCUUCAACGAGAAAUCCACAGCCUGUGGGUUCAGGGGGAAGUACUGUCGCAAGGCAGAAACUUAAAGGAAUUGACGGAAUGGCACCACAAGGCGUGGAAUAUGCGGCUUAAUUUGACUCAACACGGGGAAUGUUACCAGGUCAGGACACUGCCAGGAUGGACAGACUGAAAGCUCUUUCUUGAUCCAGUGGAUGGUGGUGCAUGGCCGCUCCUGAUCGGUGGAGUGAUUUGUCUGGUUGAUUCCGAUAACGGGUGAGAUAUCUGCCUUCCAAUAGCACCUGUCACGCAAUUGUAGGGAUACCUUCAGUGCUGACCUUCACCGGAAAGCCUGUCGGUGCCUGAGUGUUCAGGGCCAUUAUGCUUCUCUGAGGUGCUGUGUCUGUCACCAAAGUCACGCAUGCUAGAGCCAACAGCAGGUCUGUGAUGCUCCCAGAUGUCCUGGGCCGCACGCGCAUUACAUUGACACAGUGAAUGUGUUAUGCAUCCUUGUGAUGCCCAUCCCAGAAGUGGGUUGGAAACCAUCCGAGUCUGUGCUGUACUGGGGAUAGAUGAUUGCAACUAUCUGCCUUGAACGAGGAAUGCCUAGUAUGCUUGUGUCAUCAGCACAAACAGAUUGUGUCCCUGCCAUUUGUACACACCGCCCGUCGUUGCUACCGAUGAGGGCGAGGCAGAGUCAUCAGGAGAUAGCAGUACUUCAUUGGACUGCCAUUGAAAUUGGGCAAUGCCAUGCCCUUAGAGGAAGC